Molecule: ribosomal RNA, 261 nt
Filed under: uncultured prokaryote
Description: partial 16S ribosomal RNA
Rfam family: Bacterial small subunit ribosomal RNA
Source: RNAcentral
UACGGAGGAUCCGAGCGUUAUCCGGAUUUAUUGGGUUUAAAGGGUGCGCAGGCGGGGGAUUAAGUCGGCGGUGAAAUUUUGCAGCUCAACUGUAAAAGUGCCAUCGAUACUGGUUUUCUUGAGUGUGGAUGAAGUAGGCGGAAUUUGUGGUGUAGCGGUGAAAUGCAUAGAUAUCACGAGGAACUCCGAUUGCGCAGGCAGCUUACUAAACUACUACUGACGCUCAGGCACGAAGGCGUGGGGAUCAAACAGGAUUAGAUA